UGGGGAAUUUUGCGCAAUGGGGGAAACCCGUGACGCAGCAACGCCGCGUGCGGGACGAAGGCCCUCGGGUUGUAAACCGCUUUCAGCAGGGAAGACUUUACGACGGUACCUGCAGAAGAAGCUCCGGCUAACUACGUGCC
This 140-nucleotide ribosomal RNA is filed under the name uncultured bacterium. RNAcentral describes it as "partial 16S ribosomal RNA". It matches the Rfam family "Bacterial small subunit ribosomal RNA", at positions 355 to 509 of the family's 1533-position model. The record is from RNAcentral.